RNAcentral lists this ribosomal RNA (420 nucleotides) under Burkholderia ambifaria. Its description in RNAcentral is "bacterial SSU rRNA". It matches the Rfam family "Bacterial small subunit ribosomal RNA", at positions 18 to 442 of the family's 1533-position model. Lineage: Bacteria; Pseudomonadati; Pseudomonadota; Betaproteobacteria; Burkholderiales; Burkholderiaceae. The record is from RNAcentral.
CCUGGCUCAGAUUGAACGCUGGCGGCAUGCCUUACACAUGCAAGUCGAACGGCAGCACGGGUGCUUGCACCUGGUGGCGAGUGGCGAACGGGUGAGUAAUACAUCGGAACAUGUCCUGUAGUGGGGGAUAGCCCGGCGAAAGCCGGAUUAAUACCGCAUACGAUCUACGGAUGAAAGCGGGGGACCUUCGGGCCUCGCGCUAUAGGGUUGGCCGAUGGCUGAUUAGCUAGUUGGUGGGGUAAAGGCCUACCAAGGCGACGAUCAGUAGCUGGUCUGAGAGGACGACCAGCCACACUGGGACUGAGACACGGCCCAGACUCCUACGGGAGGCAGCAGUGGGGAAUUUUGGACAAGGGCGAAAGCCUGACCAGCAAUGCCGCGUGUGUGAGAGGCCUUCGGGUUGUAAAGCACUUUUGUCCG